AUCACCUUGCCGAUAGAACUCUUCAACAUCUGUAAUAACAAAACCAAAAACUCAUAUCAAUCUUGAAACGUGCAUCUCCUAAUCUCAAUGAACAAAAGCUCACUUGCUCCUGUGAGUUUUCUAGAAUUCAAUCAUUAAACCAAACUAUGUUCUAUUAUUUGUUGCUAAGAAAAUAUAGCUCAAAUUAAAAGAAGAUUUUAUUUAAGCGGAAAAAAAGGCACUUAAAAAAAAAAAAUCUCCAGUCGUCCAACCUCAAAUAAUAGAACUACACUGCGCUACUUGAAGCGGUUUUUCACUUCCCAGAAAAUACAACAUAAAGAAUUUUUUUUAGUAAUUCACACUUUUCCUCCAAUCUCCAGUUCCUCGGAUUUUCUCAGCAACCAAGCAAAGACCAGUUUACACCUGUAUGGUAAUUUUCCAGUCAAGUAACUCGAACACAACCCGGAAAAAAGUCCCUCGAUUUUCACAGGAAAAUUGAAAACAAAGUAAAAUUA
This 494-nucleotide unclassified non-coding RNA is filed under the name Hevea brasiliensis (rubber tree). The record is from RNAcentral. Lineage: Eukaryota; Viridiplantae; Streptophyta; Magnoliopsida; Malpighiales; Euphorbiaceae.